GACGAACGCUGGCGGCGUGCUUAACACAUGCGAGUCGAACGGAAAGGCCCUGCUUUUGUGGGGUGCUCGAGUGGCGAACGGGUGAGUAACACGUGAGUAACCUGCCCUUGACUUUGGGAUAACUUCAGGAAACUGGGGCUAAUACCGGAUAGGAGCUCCUGCUGCAUGGUGGGGGUUGGAAAGUUUCGGCGGUUGGGGAUGGACUCGCGGCUUAUCAGCUUGUUGGUGGGGUAGUGGCUUACCAAGGCUUUGACGGGUAGCCGGCCUGAGAGGGUGACCGGCCACAUUGGGACUGAGAUACGGCCCAGACUCCUACGGGAGGCAGCAGUGGGGAAUAUUGCACAAUGGGCGGAAGCCUGAGGCAGCAACGCCGCGUGCGGGAUGACGGCCUUCGGGUUGUAAACCGCUUUCGCCUGUGACGAAGCGUGAGUGACGGUAAUGGGUAAAGAAGCACCGGCUAACUACGUG
This 468-nucleotide ribosomal RNA is filed under the name uncultured bacterium. RNAcentral describes it as "partial 16S ribosomal RNA". It matches the Rfam family "Bacterial small subunit ribosomal RNA", at positions 28 to 507 of the family's 1533-position model. The record is from RNAcentral.